GAUGAACGCUGGCGGCGUGCCUAAUACAUGCAAGUCGAGCGAACAGACGACGAGCUUGCUCCUCUGACGUUAGCGGCGGACGGGUGAGUAACACGUGGAUAACCUACCUAUAAGACUGGGAUAACUUCGGGAAACCGGAGCUAAUACCGGAUAAUAUAUUGAACCGCAUGGUUCAAUAGUGAAAGACGGUUUUGCUGUCACUUAUAGAUGGAUCCGCGCCGCAUUAGCUAGUUGGUAAGGUAACGGCUUACCAAGGCAACGAUGCGUAGCCGACCUGAGAGGGUGAUCGGCCACACUGGAACUGAGACACGGUCCAGACUCCUACGGGAGGCAGCAGUAGGGAAUCUUCCGCAAUGGGCGAAAGCCUGACGGAGCAACGCCGCGUGAGUGAUGAAGGUCUUCGGAUCGUAAAACUCUGUUAUUAGGGAAGAACAAAUGUGUAAGUAACUAUGUACGUCUUGACGGUACCUAAUCAGAAAGCCACGGCUAACUACGUG
This 497-nucleotide ribosomal RNA is filed under the name uncultured bacterium. RNAcentral describes it as "partial 16S ribosomal RNA". It matches the Rfam family "Bacterial small subunit ribosomal RNA", at positions 28 to 507 of the family's 1533-position model. The record is from RNAcentral.